This 29-nucleotide small RNA is filed under the name Bombyx mori (domestic silkworm). RNAcentral describes it as "ovarian small RNA-990". The record is from RNAcentral. Lineage: Eukaryota; Metazoa; Arthropoda; Insecta; Lepidoptera; Bombycidae.
CCGCCGAAAGAUCAGGACCCGUCUCGGUC